This 27-nucleotide transfer RNA is filed under the name Neothremma alicia. Its description in RNAcentral is "partial tRNA-Tyr". The record is from RNAcentral. Lineage: Eukaryota; Metazoa; Arthropoda; Insecta; Trichoptera; Uenoidae.
AGUAAAAUGGCUGAAGUUUAGGCAAUA